RNAcentral lists this transfer RNA (72 nucleotides) under Listeria welshimeri. RNAcentral's name for it is "tRNA-Arg". It matches the Rfam family "tRNA". Rfam says of the family: Transfer RNA (tRNA) molecules are approximately 80 nucleotides in length. Their secondary structure includes four short double-helical elements and three loops (D, anti-codon, and T loops). Lineage: Bacteria; Bacillati; Bacillota; Bacilli; Caryophanales; Listeriaceae. The record is from RNAcentral.
GUCCCCUUGGUAAAAUGGAUAUUACGAGACCCUCCUAAGGUUUAAGUGCAGGUUCAAUUCCUGCAGGGGACA